GUAGUCAUAUGCUUGUCUCAAAGAUUAAGCCAUGCAUGUCUAAGUACAUGCCGUAUUAAGGCGAAACCGCGAAUGGCUCAUUAAAUCAGUUACGGUUCCUUAGAUGUUGACUAUCUACAUGGAUAACUGUGGUAAUUCUAGAGCUAAUACAUGCACAAAAGCCUUGACCUUAACGGAAAAGGCGCAUUUAUUAGACCAAGACCAAUGGGUUCGUCGGGCAACCGGCGAAUCCUCCGAUGUGGUGACUCUGGAUAACUUUCGCUGAUCGCAUGGCCUAUGAGCCGGCGACGAAUCUUUCAAGUGUCUGCCUUAUCAACUGUCGAUGGUAGGUUAUGCGCCUACCAUGGUUGCAACGGGUAACGGGGAAU
RNAcentral lists this ribosomal RNA (368 nucleotides) under uncultured fungus. RNAcentral describes it as "bacterial SSU rRNA". It matches the Rfam family "Eukaryotic small subunit ribosomal RNA", at positions 20 to 370 of the family's 1831-position model. Lineage: Eukaryota; Fungi. The record is from RNAcentral.